AAAGAUCAACUGCAUUUGACCCCCUUGAUCUGCUGUUUGAGUUCUGGUUGAAGGGGAAUACUGCAGAGGCAUUAGAAGGGUGAGAGAGUUAAAUAAUUCGAUUCCUUGGGGAAGAUCAACUGCUAUGAGUCUCUUCAAUAUCUCACUCUCCUUGCCUUCUUGCUUAAGGUUUGUGUCUACAGGGUCAAAUCUUGAGAGGGUCUUGCUGUGACUAGUGGAUAGUAUGUACUGUUGAGAGACUUUUUGGUGACUACUACUGUGAGGAGAUUCUCGUUAAAGGAAAAAUUUAAAUAGAUUUAUCUGUCUUUAUCUGUGACUAGUGGAUAGUAUGUUGCUCAGGCUUUUGUCAUGACAUUUGGUUGUUGUGUAUUGUGGACAAGGACAUUCAUUUACUGGUCUUGUAGUAUGGGGUCUAGAAGAUGAAUACUCUGCCAUAUGAAAGAAACAAAAGAUUCUCGGUUAGUUUUGUCCUUGUGAAGCAACCUGGUUCCUUUCGCUUGUUUUUUGAAUAGUCGACAUUGCAUUGCCUGUGUAUUCACUUACCAAAAUCAGAUUGUUGAUUUGCCCCAAAGAAUUGAUUUUGGCUAGAGUUGUUAGCUGAAAUAAUUGAAAGGAUUCUGUUGAUGAGUCCAAGUAGAUUCAGUGAAUAACCCUUUGUGGGAAAUUCAUCUCAAAUUUAUGCUGAACAUACUGUCUGACAACGUUUGGAGAUGCAUGCUUAGGGGGCCUUGUCUGCUUUGAUGAAUCAUGUGAAUGUCCAAUGUUGAUCAAGAAUUACUGUACACCAUAUUGCAUCGUUGUGACUUGAGCUUUCUGAUAUUUCCUGCUAUUUUCCAUUUCGUGACGAGCAAUGAAGGUGGCAAUCCGCAGCAAACUGCUUUGAGGUAAUCUAAUAUGUGCUCUUAUGUGUAGCUCCAAGCCUGAGACUUUCUUACUCAGAAUCUCAGUGCUUGAGAUGCAAUCCGAUUUUUCAUUUCAAUCUUUUGGCAGAUGAUUAUUUGUUCUUCCUUUUUUCUGGAUUCUAUGUGAUGCUAAUUCUGGAUUGCUUGGAAUAUGACUGUCCUAUUUGUUUUCUUUGCUAGCUAGCGAUGCAUCGCUUGAACACCAAACCUAGAGCAGCGAACCGCAUCUGGUUGCAGAUGAAUUCGCUAAUCUCUCCGUUGUGAAGAUUUGCAGGAUAUGAUGACCCCAGUCAUCGUCCUCAAAUUGCUGGAAAGGCCCUCGCUUCUCGGUUUGAAAUUUGAACCAAAUUUUUCUCUGCGGUAACUGUAAGAGGCUAAAGCUGCAUCAGUAAGUCCUCCUGCAGAAAAUGGAGAAGAAGAAAAAAGAACAAAGAAAAUAUGAGGGUUAAACCCUUUUUCCUUCUGGGGGUCCUCUCUACUCAUACAAAUCCUCAACCCCACCUAACAUGAAUGCUCUGCCCUUGUUGCAGAAGCAGUCGUUGCAAUGAAUUGAACACAAUCGCUUCUCUGUUGAGCAGUUGCCGACACGUUUUCCACAUUCCCAGUCCUGAUAAAUGCUGUUCUUGGCUUUGUCUGAAAAGCCCAUAUCUGUACUGUAAUCAAGAAUGCAAUCGAGUCGAGUGUCAACCUUGAGCUCUACUCGAUUUGCUUACUCGAUGCUGGAAACUCGACUCAAGCUCCGUAGAGUAUCAAAAUUUAGGCUCGAGCUCGACUCUAAUAGAAAAUUCAGAUGCUUGAGCUUGACUCAAUCAUAAUAUAGUUACAUAUGCAAUCGAGCUUAAGCUUAAUAAGUUCGGAUAUUUUUCUCACGUUCGUACAUGUGAUGGUACAAUAUGUAGUUUUAUAGACUUUUGUGUCUUCUUAUGUAAUUGUAAUAUAUUUCUUAAAAA
RNAcentral lists this long non-coding RNA (1852 nucleotides) under Eucalyptus grandis. RNAcentral describes it as "long non-coding RNA (EGRA_LNC003048)". Lineage: Eukaryota; Viridiplantae; Streptophyta; Magnoliopsida; Myrtales; Myrtaceae. The record is from RNAcentral.